CUGGCCUUGACAUGUCCGGAAUCCAGCAGAGAUGCAGGAGUGCCUUCGGGAAUCGGAACACAGGUGCUGCAUGGCUGUCGUCAGCUCGUGUCGUGAGAUGUUGGGUUAAGUCCCGCAACGAGCGCAACCCUUGUCCUUAGUUGCCAGCGAGUAAUGUCGGGAACUUUAAGGAGACUGCCGGUGACAAACCGGAGGAAGGUGGGGAUGAAGUCAAGUCAUCAUGGCCCUUACGGCCAGGGCUACACACGUACUACAAUGGUCGGUACAGAGGGUUGCGAU
RNAcentral lists this ribosomal RNA (279 nucleotides) under uncultured bacterium. RNAcentral describes it as "partial 16S ribosomal RNA". It matches the Rfam family "Bacterial small subunit ribosomal RNA", at positions 975 to 1253 of the family's 1533-position model. The record is from RNAcentral.